This 1490-nucleotide long non-coding RNA is filed under the name Homo sapiens (human). RNAcentral's name for it is "HSALNT0289621". The record is from RNAcentral. Lineage: Eukaryota; Metazoa; Chordata; Mammalia; Primates; Hominidae.
CGCAGCAAGGGCCAGACUCUGCGCUAGCAGGCGCUGCGCGCCAACCGGCCGGCACCUGUCGCAGAAGGUGCAACCGAUCGCACUGUCGCGCAGAAGCUCCUCAAUGGCCAGCGCCAGCUGCAGCCCCGGCCGCCCACUCGCCUCAUCUGAGCCUGGGCAAAUCUGGAUUGGGAAAGUUGACAUUAAUCAACUCAUUAUUCCUCACAGAUUUGUAUUCUCCAGAGUAUCCAGGUCCUUCUCAGAGAAUUAAAAAGCCUGUACAGGUCUAGAUAUUGGUAUUUUUAAUUGAUGAUAAGCUGGAAUAAUAUUAAUACACACAAAGCACGUGUUGUAACUUUCAUUAUGCUUCCUUAGAGCGCUGCUCUAAGCUGUUGAUGAAAAAUAUUGUUGGUGAGCUCUGCUUAGGUAAUAUAUAGGACAUGAGCAGAGAGGAGGCACGUGAACAGUUCUGGCCUGGAGUAGGCUUCAUUGAGGCUGUGAUGCUUUUAGCUGGAUUUGAAGAAGUGGUAGUGAUCAUCCCAGUGCACAGGAUAGGUGGACAGUCUAUGUAUUCUGAGCAGUAACUCAUAUAUCUCAUACUGCAAGACCCCAAAGGAGUAAUUUUGUGAACUCUGUUCACGGAAAGGGCCUGGGAGCUGCAACACCUCAACAGCAACAAGCACACCUGCUACCUAGAACUUGGUUUCUAAAAACCAUCCUCCUCUAAAAGGAAACAGAGCUCUUUGAAGAAACGGUAUUCUAAUAAUACUGCGUGACAUUACGGACAACUUAGCCUAAAUUAUGGAAAAUCAAAUUAUUUAGUAGAACUGCAAGACAAUCCUCUCAGUUGUUGUACAGAAGGUAAGCAUGAGCAAAUUACUUUUUAGAGGUAACUUUGCUGAACUUGUGAAGAAUGGUGUGCAAGGUCCAGAGCGACUGCAGGAGAGGGAAGGUGGGAUUCCCACAGAGCAGGAGCACAGAUAAGCCAAGCAAGGCCCUGCUUGGAAGGCAGCAAUCAACAGAGAUGCACAGACCUGUGAGGGUGCCGGGACAGCCAUGCAACAAUGCAGCCCUUUUGCUUCCUGAGCUCACCAGUUCCCUCGCUCCACCUCUGAGAGGUGGUUUGGAGAAACACAGCCCUUCUCAAGAGGGCUGCAAGCUACUUAAGUCCUGAAAAUUUCCACAAGGCUGAGUCAAAUCUGCGUUUCAUCAUCUAUAAGAAAGGUACCUAUCGAGAACACCCUGCUGGCCAGUGUGUAAAUAUCUAAAGGAGGACUCAGAAAACACCGGGGAAGUCCAGCCUGCACGUGGUGGCUGGGCUUCAGUGAAGCAUGCAGCACAACAGGAGUUGUAAGUAGUAGUUACAUCAGCAGCCCUGGAAAUUCUGCUCAGAACCAAACUGAACAAAUAACAUUAUCUAAGGCUUACAAUUAUUUAACUCCCUAAAUUUUCUGUCCUCCCAGUAGCACUUUCAAAUGCCUAAAAGCAAUUAAAAGAAACAUUUUUCCAAU